Molecule: ribosomal RNA, 408 nt
Filed under: uncultured bacterium
Lineage: Bacteria
Description: partial 16S ribosomal RNA
Rfam family: Bacterial small subunit ribosomal RNA
Source: RNAcentral
GACGAACGCUGGCGGCGUGCUUAACACAUGCAAGUCGAACGAAGUAGCGAACGGGUGAGUAACGCGUAAUCAACCUGUCCUCCAGCGGGGGACAACAGUUGGAAACGACUGCUCAUACCGCAUACUGAAGGAGGGGAUUGCGUCAGUUGAGCUAGUUGGAGGGGUAACGGCCUACCAAGGCGAUGAUCAGUCGCCGGUCUGGGAGGAUGAACGGCCAAAUUGGGAAUGAGACACGGCCCAGACUCCUACGGUAGGCAGCAGGGGGGAAUCUUCCGCAAUGGACGAAAGUCUGACGGAGCAACGCCGCGUGAGUGAUGACGGCCUUCGGGUUGUAAAGCUCUGUUAAUCGGGACGCGGUACCGGAAUAGAAAGCCACGGCUAACUACGUGCCAGCCGCCGCGGUAAUAC